UCUUUGCGACAAAUGAACUCCUCAAUUUGGAUCGAAUGAAUUUUAUGCCAAGAAUUAGAUCAGCUUCACCUAAAACUUUUACAACAAAAUAAUGAGAAAAAAAUUUCUUAACAUCAUCACUUAGAUCGAUGUCAAAAGAUAGAAACAAGAUAUCAUUAACAUAGACAAAAAAAGAAUGUAUCGAUCAUCAAAUCUUUUAUGAUAGAGAUAAUUGUCAAAUUUAUUGAUUUGAAAAUGAUAUGAAAGAAUAAUACUAUCAAAAUUUUCGUAUCAAGUUGAGUUAUGUAGAUUGCCUCAUUAAAAUCUCUAUGGAGAAAAGAUGUGCGUCACAUUCAUUUGAUGCACAAAGAGUUUAUGGAUGGAAGCA
Molecule: long non-coding RNA, 367 nt
Filed under: Elaeis guineensis (African oil palm)
Lineage: Eukaryota; Viridiplantae; Streptophyta; Magnoliopsida; Arecales; Arecaceae
Description: long non-coding RNA (EGUI_LNC073296)
Source: RNAcentral